RNAcentral lists this long non-coding RNA (201 nucleotides) under Homo sapiens (human). RNAcentral describes it as "HSALNT0049779". Lineage: Eukaryota; Metazoa; Chordata; Mammalia; Primates; Hominidae. The record is from RNAcentral.
GGAGGCGUGGCUUGGCCGGGCCCGCCCACUUCGCGUCCGCGUCGUUCGGCUAGGGCCCCGUGGCUACCCGGUGCACGUGGACGGCGGGCUGCGUGGUUCCCGUGUCUUCACCCUUUCCCUAGUGACUGCGUUGUCGGCUUUACGUUUAUUCCUUUUUGUGGCCCGCUUUGUAAUUGGUGCAUUUUUUUCUAUGUAUUAUAA